RNAcentral lists this ribosomal RNA (396 nucleotides) under uncultured eukaryote. RNAcentral describes it as "partial small subunit ribosomal RNA". It matches the Rfam family "Eukaryotic small subunit ribosomal RNA", at positions 30 to 432 of the family's 1831-position model. The record is from RNAcentral.
GCUUGUCUCAAAGAUUAAGCCAUGCAUGUCUUAGUGUAAAUAACUCUUAUGAAACUGCGAAUGGCUCAUUAAAUCAGUUAUCAAAUACGUGAUGGUCGCCUACUACAUGGAUAACCGUAGUAAUUCUAGAGCUAAUACAUGCGUCAAACGUCGACUUCUGGAAGACGUGUAUUUAUUAGAUAAAAAACCAAUUCCGCAAGGAUUUUUUGGUGAUUCAUAAUAACUGUUCGGAGCCCAUGGUCUUGCACUGGGGCCAGGUCAUUCAAAUUUCUGCCCUAUCAGCUUUCGAUGGUAGUGUAGUGGACUACCAUGGCUUUAACGGGUGACGGAGAAUUAGGGUUCGAUUCCGGAGAGGGAGCCUGAGAAACGGCUACCACAUCCAAGGAAGGCAGCAGG